GGGCAAGUGGCGAAAUGGCAGACGCGCUGGCUUCAGGUGCCAGUGUCCGCAAGGACGUGGGGGUUCAAGUCCCCCCUUGCCCACUA
This 86-nucleotide transfer RNA is filed under the name Segniliparus rotundus DSM 44985. Its description in RNAcentral is "tRNA-Leu". It matches the Rfam family "tRNA". From Rfam's summary of the family: Transfer RNA (tRNA) molecules are approximately 80 nucleotides in length. Their secondary structure includes four short double-helical elements and three loops (D, anti-codon, and T loops). The record is from RNAcentral. Lineage: Bacteria; Bacillati; Actinomycetota; Actinomycetes; Mycobacteriales; Segniliparaceae.